Molecule: ribosomal RNA, 700 nt
Filed under: uncultured bacterium
Lineage: Bacteria
Description: bacterial SSU rRNA
Rfam family: Bacterial small subunit ribosomal RNA
Source: RNAcentral
AGAGUUUGAUCAUGGCUCAGAGCGAACGCUGGCGGCAGGCUUAACACAUGCAAGUCGAGCGGGCGUAGCAAUACGUCAGCGGCAGACGGGUGAGUAACGCGUGGGAACAUACCUUUUGGUUCGGAACAACACAGGGAAACUUGUGCUAAUACCGGAUAAGCCCUUACGGGGAAAGAUUUAUCGCCGAAAGAUUGGCCCGCGUCUGAUUAGCUAGUUGGUGAGGUAACGGCUCACCAAGGCGACGAUCAGUAGCUGGUCUGAGAGGAUGAUCAGCCACAUUGGGACUGAGACACGGCCCAAACUCCUACGGGAGGCAGCAGUGGGGAAUAUUGGACAAUGGGCGCAAGCCUGAUCCAGCCAUGCCGCGUGAGUGAUGAAGGCCCUAGGGUUGUAAAGCUCUUUUGUGCGGGAAGAUAAUGACGGUACCGCAAGAAUAAGCCCCGGCUAACUUCGUGCCAGCAGCCGCGGUAAUACGAAGGGGGCUAGCGUUGCUCGGAAUCACUGGGCGUAAAGGGUGCGUAGGCGGGUUUUUAAGUCAGAGGUGAAAUCCUGGAGCUCAACUCCAGAACUGCCUUUGAUACUGAAGAUCUUGAGUUCGGGAGAGGUGAGUGGAACUGCGAGUGUAGAGGUGAAAUUCGUAGAUAUUCGCAAGAACACCAGUGGCGAAGGCGGCUCACUGGCCCGAUACUGACGCUGAGGC